This 415-nucleotide ribosomal RNA is filed under the name uncultured soil bacterium. RNAcentral describes it as "bacterial SSU rRNA". It matches the Rfam family "Bacterial small subunit ribosomal RNA", at positions 26 to 480 of the family's 1533-position model. The record is from RNAcentral.
AGAGCGAACGCUGGCGGCAGGCCUAACACAUGCAAGUCGAACGGACUCUUCGGAGUUAGUGGCGGACGGGUGAGUAACACGUGGGAACGUGCCUUUAGGUUCGGAAUAGCUCCUGGAAACGGGUGGUAAUACCGAAUGUGCCCUUCGGGGGAAAGAUUUAUCGCCUUUAGAGCGGCCCGCGUCUGAUUAGCUUGUUGGUGAGGUAAUGGCUCACCAAGGCUACGAUCAGUAGCUGGUCUGAGAGGAUGACCAGCCACAUUGGGACUGAGACACGGCCCAAACUCCUACGGAGGCAGCAGUGGGAAUCUUGCGCAAUGGGCGAAAGCCUGACGCAGCCAGUGCCGCGUGUAUGAUGAAGGUCUUAAGGAUUAGUAAAAUACUUUACGACCGGUAGAAGAUAAUGACUGUAGACCGG